RNAcentral lists this transfer RNA (85 nucleotides) under Felis catus (domestic cat). It matches the Rfam family "tRNA". Rfam says of the family: Transfer RNA (tRNA) molecules are approximately 80 nucleotides in length. Their secondary structure includes four short double-helical elements and three loops (D, anti-codon, and T loops). RNAcentral also lists the same sequence under 5 other names. The record is from Rfam by way of RNAcentral. Lineage: Eukaryota; Metazoa; Chordata; Mammalia; Carnivora; Felidae.
GCCUGGGUGGCUCAGUAGGUUGAGCAUCUGACUUCUGCUCAGGUCAUGAUCUCAUAGUUUGUGAGUUCAAGCCCCAUGUCAGGUU